CACACCCCAACAGCCCCAGGCGUGAGCCACCCUGUCUGGACGGCCCCCAAAUGUGCCCUGGGACACCCUGGGAAGCCCGUGGGACUGAGCCCACGAUGCCGGAAGUGCCACGUGAGUGGCUGCAGCAGCUGCGCUUGAACAAUGGUGACUGCGUGCAAGAGGGUGCCCUGGCCCGUGCCCUCAGCAUUGGCGCCUCAAUGCGGGCCUCUGUGGAUGAGGAAGACACCGUAACUGCACCUGAGGAUGUCCCCAGGCGUGAGCCACCCUGUCUGGACGGCCCCCAAAUGUGCCCUGGGACACCCUGGGAAGCCCGUGGGACUGAGCCCACGAUGCCGG
Ochotona princeps (American pika) is the source of this 336-nucleotide long non-coding RNA. RefSeq lists it as uncharacterized. The record is from RefSeq and is a predicted model, not a curated record. The transcript is spliced from 3 exons. NCBI's taxonomy places the organism in Eukaryota, Metazoa, Chordata, Mammalia, Lagomorpha, Ochotonidae.